UACGUAGGGUGCGAGCGUUAAUCGGAAUUACUGGGCGUAAAGCGUGCGUAGGUGGUUUGUUAAGUCUGCUGUGAAAGCCCCGGGCUCAACCUGGGAAUGGCAGUGGAUACUGGCAGGCUGGAGUAUGGUAGAGGAAGGUGGAAUUCCCGGUGUAGCAGUGAAAUGCGUAGAGAUCGGGAGGAACACCAGUGGCGAAGGCGGCCUUCUGGACCAAUACUGACGCUCAUGCACGAAAGCGUGGGGAGCAAACAGG
Molecule: ribosomal RNA, 253 nt
Filed under: uncultured bacterium
Lineage: Bacteria
Description: partial 16S ribosomal RNA
Rfam family: Bacterial small subunit ribosomal RNA
Source: RNAcentral